Molecule: ribosomal RNA, 449 nt
Filed under: uncultured bacterium
Lineage: Bacteria
Description: bacterial SSU rRNA
Rfam family: Bacterial small subunit ribosomal RNA
Source: RNAcentral
GUGACGCUGGCGGUAUGCUUAACACAUGCAAGUCGAACGGUCUCUUCGGAGAUAGUGGCGGACGGGUGAGUAAUGCGUGAGAAUCUGCCUUCUGGUCGGGGACAACCACGGGAAACGGUGGCUAAUACCGGAUAGGCCGAAAGGUAAAAGAUUAAUUGCCAGAAGAGGAGCUCGCGUCUGAUUAGCUAGUUGGUGGGGUAAAGGCUUACCAAGGCAGCGAUCAGUAGCUGGUCUGAGAGGAUGAUCAGCCACACUGGGACUGAGACACGGCCCAGACUCCUAUGGGAGGCAGCAGUGGGGAAUUUUCCGCAAUGGGCGAAAGCCUGACGGAGCAAUACCGCGUGAGGGAGGAAGGCUCUUGGGUCGUAAACCUCUUUUGUCAGGGAAGAAGCACUGACGGUACCUGACGAAUAAGCAUCGGCUAACUCCGUGCCAGCAGCCGCGGUAAU